AGGGGUGUAACCCAGUGGUUCGGUUUUAGGUUUGCUCUCUAGAGGUCAUCAGUUCGAGUCUCAUAACUUUUA
RNAcentral lists this transfer RNA (72 nucleotides) under Salix viminalis (osier). The record is from RNAcentral. Lineage: Eukaryota; Viridiplantae; Streptophyta; Magnoliopsida; Malpighiales; Salicaceae.